AGCGAACGCUGGCGGCGUGCUUAACACAUGCAAGUCGAACGUGAAAUGUAGCAAUACAGAGUAAAGUGGCGUACGGGUGAGUAACACGUGGGUAAUCUACCUUAGAGUCUGGAAUAACCGGCCGAAAGGCUGGCUAAUACUGGAUAGUUCAAGCGCAUUGUAAGGAUGCGAUUGGGAAAGGGAGCUCGCAAGAGCCUUUGCUUUAAGAUGAGCCCGCGUCUGAUAGCUAGUUGGUGAGGUAAUGGCUCACCAAGGCUGAGAUCAGUAGCUGGUCUGAGAGGAUGAUCAGCCACACUGGAACUGAAACACGGUCCAGACUCCUACGGGAGGCAGCAGUGGGGAAUCUUGCGCAAUGGGCGCAAGCCUGAUGCAGCAACGCCGCGUGAGGGACGACGGCCUGG
Molecule: ribosomal RNA, 401 nt
Filed under: uncultured bacterium
Lineage: Bacteria
Description: bacterial SSU rRNA
Rfam family: Bacterial small subunit ribosomal RNA
Source: RNAcentral